Molecule: long non-coding RNA, 594 nt
Organism: Hibiscus syriacus
Lineage: Eukaryota; Viridiplantae; Streptophyta; Magnoliopsida; Malvales; Malvaceae
Exons: 3
Source: RefSeq, a predicted model, not a curated record
GUAGCCACUUACCAAUUAUUGAUCAUUCUCUCUGUACUAAAGCUGUCAACACGGUCUCCUUCUACAUCUCUUCGCUUCACUUCUUUCUUAUCCCAUCUUCCCCUUAAAUCCUUACCCUAAAUUCACUCCCCCAAUCAUCAUGCUCUAACACAACAGUACCCAACAACAAAAACAAGAAAUGGUUCCUUUAUUUUUUUUCAUCCAUGUUUCUUCGCUUCAUUUUCUUCUUCAUGCUCGUCAAUGGCGAGCGGGAUUCUAUUUACGCGAUCCUAAAAGCCCAUGUACUGCCCACGGGGCUUCUUCCCGAAGGAAUUACCCGGUUUGACUUCGACAAUAAGGGUCGGUUCGAGGUUCAUUUGGAUCAGCCCGCAAGACCAAGUUUCAAAGCGAGAUUCAUUACGAUAGGAACGUGUCCGGGACUUUGAGUUACGGGCAGAUCGGGGCGUUGUCGGUUUCCAUUGUCGUUGUUUGAAUCGCCGAGGGAUUGCUUGGCGGUUCUGGAUGCUGAAUCCGGUGACUCGAUUCGGGACAUCAAAUUGUUAUCUAAAGCAAUCUCCAAGAAACGAUAUGAACUUGAUGAAGAAAGUUUUGGGA